This is a non-coding RNA of Candidatus Harrisonbacteria bacterium, 72 nucleotides long. NCBI's taxonomy places the organism in Bacteria, Candidatus Harrisoniibacteriota. The record is from Rfam.
GCCCCCAUCGUUCAACGGACAGGACGAGGGUUUCCUAAACCCUAAAUCGAGGUUCAACUCCUCGUGGGGGUA